Marmota monax (woodchuck) is the source of this 608-nucleotide long non-coding RNA. RefSeq lists it as uncharacterized. The transcript has 2 exons. Lineage: Eukaryota; Metazoa; Chordata; Mammalia; Rodentia; Sciuridae. The record is from RefSeq and is a predicted model, not a curated record.
CUGUGGUUGUAUCGUCAUAGUAACCGGAGUGUGCGGACAGGGUGACCCUCCCCUUGGCGAAAGGAUUCCCGGGAAACCGCCCAGGAUUCCCCCGUGACUUCCCUUCCCAGGCCACCCUGGCGUGGGAAUCGAGGACACCGUCGGCGACUGAGCGUCCGACAGCCUGCGGGACUAGACCGGCGAAGGUGGAAACACGUCCUAGAAAGCUGACAAGUGGUACUCAAGCAUUUGAAAUCCAGGACGGUCGGAGGGGCUUAUUACUGCCCUCCCUCUUAGAAGGGUUCCCAGUAAGGAUCCCGGCUUGAUUAUUAAAGGCCGCUUUUCAAGUACCCUCCUCCCAGGAGUCUCAGUAUUUUAGAACUUGACACCCUGUAAUUUGGGGAUCAGAGAGAAAAUAUUGACUAAACUAGUGUUGGCACGAAGGUCCAAUGAAAGGAGUCUAGGAAAAGAAUUUUCCAUUCUUAUGAACAACUCUUUUUGAAUGUCUUAUAUGCAUUUUGUGUCAGGUACGGGGCUAAAACGCAGUCAAUGUAUUGUAGAGUGUAUGAGAAUUGCUGGAGAAGUCGUCAUGCUGACAGCUUGAAUAAAUUGACGUUUUCCAAAUUUCA